This 253-nucleotide ribosomal RNA is filed under the name uncultured bacterium. RNAcentral describes it as "partial 16S ribosomal RNA". It matches the Rfam family "Bacterial small subunit ribosomal RNA", at positions 524 to 776 of the family's 1533-position model. The record is from RNAcentral.
UACGUAGGGGGCAAGCGUUGUCCGGAAUCAUUGGGCGUAAAGAGCGUGUAGGCGGCUCGGUAAGUCCGCUGUGAAAGUCCAGGGCUCAACCCUGGAAUGCCGGUGGAAACUGUCGAGCUAGAGUCCGGAAGAGGCGAGUGGAAUUCCUGGUGUAGCGGUGAAAUGCGUAGAUAUCGGGAGGAACACCUGUGGCGAAAGCGGCUCACUGGACCAUAACUGACGCUGAUGCACGAAAGCUGGGGGAGCAAACAGG